RNAcentral lists this ribosomal RNA (467 nucleotides) under uncultured bacterium. RNAcentral describes it as "partial 16S ribosomal RNA". It matches the Rfam family "Bacterial small subunit ribosomal RNA", at positions 28 to 506 of the family's 1533-position model. The record is from RNAcentral.
GACGAACGCUGGCGGCGUGCUUAACUCAUGCAAGUCGAACGGAAAGGCCCUGCUUUUGUGGGGUGCUCGAGUGGCGAACGGGUGAGUAACACGUGAGUAACCUGCCCUUGUCUUUGGGAUAACUUCAGGAAACUGGGGCUAAUACCGGAUAGGAGCUCCUGCUGCAUGGUGGGGGUUGGAAAGUUUCGGCGGUUGGGGAUGGACUCGCGGCUUAUCAGCUUGUUGGUGGGGUAGUGGCUUACCAAGGCUUUGACGGGUAGCCGGCCUGAGAGGGUGACCGGCCACAUUGGGACUGAGAUACGGCCCAGACUCCUACGGGAGGCAGCAGUGGGGAAUAUUGCACAAUGGGCGGAAGCCUGAUGCAGCAACGCCGCGUGCGGGAUGACGGCCUUCGGGUUGUAAACCGCUUUCGCCUGUGACGAAGCGUGAGUGACGGUAAUGGGUAAAGAAGCACCGGCUAACUACGU